AGUGCGAGCCUUUCCUCACCCCAAAACCCUCAGACACCUGUCCCCGGUUUAAAAUCCUGUUGUUCUAUUCCAAAGCUGUGCCACCACGGCACACAAAAUGGCGCCGACCGCAUGGCCGAGCAGCCCAGGAAAGACCAACAAAAUGGCGCCUCUUCACCUCCCUGCCCCCUCUUGGUUCCCGCCACUUCCCCUCUAACCCCUUCUCUGUCGAGUGCUGCCCCUGUGUCGGGUCCUGCCCCCACAAACGCGUCUAUGGUGUCAGCGUCGGGACUCGCCCCCUCUGUCCCCAUGGCCACACCCCUGGGUGGGCCCCCGGUGGGAGGGACCGGCCUACAGGAAGUCCGUGCCCCUGUGGGUGGGAACCCCCUGCCGGAAGGCCCCGCCUCCCCCUCUCCAGCUGCUGCCGGUUCCCACGCCAAUGGAACUGGAAGUCGGCCUGGCUGGAAGCAGGCCUGGCUGGAAGCAGGCCAUCUUGGCCUGCCGGGCUUCACGCCACCGGAGCCCACCGGCUAUCUCAACUACAAAAAGCCAUCUGCUCCUCUUUCACUGAGAAUGACUGACAGCAAACCAAUGCUUGUCAGGAAGCAUGAAACAGAAAACACAAGAUGUUACACAGAGGAGAGCAGAUGUUUGGACAAUCCCCGUCCAGGUGCUCAGUGCAUCAGUGCUUCCCUUCCACGAAUCACACAGUGCUGGAACUCAUGAGCCAAGCAAGCAAACAAGCAUCCUGCAUGGAUCUGACAUGUGGCCAUUGAAGCAGUGGGGUAGAGACAACUGGGCAUUAAAAACAAAACACAAACUUAAUAAUUUUGUGACAGGAACUGUGCAAUAGCAGGUCAUUGUCCUUGGUAGAACAGAAGGUCUCUUCAAUUCUGUGUUGUUAGUUGCUAAGCUGCCUCAUGACAGGUAAAUAUGACUUCUUACCUAAUUUUCUUAAAUCUAAUUUUACUAUCAAUUACUAUCUUCCUUUCUCUCCUCCAAUUCAUAUAUUAAAAUAAAGUCAGAAAAAAUAAUCAGGAUUAAUCAUUCCCAGGAUGAGAAAAGCAAAUGUGAUGAGAUCUUGCUCUCCUUUUCAUUUACUUACUCUCACAUUUUGUUUAUUAUUUACUUCAUGAUGUUUUAUACUGUUGUGGUGGUGUUUAUACAAGCCAUAUCAUUAAGAGAUAUAAAAGUUCUAGUUCAUUUAAAGAUAAUGAUAUUUUGUGUAAAUAAAAUGUGUCAUCCA
This 1225-nucleotide long non-coding RNA is filed under the name Taeniopygia guttata (zebra finch). Its description in RNAcentral is "lncRNA (ENSTGUG00000026631.1)". The record is from RNAcentral. Lineage: Eukaryota; Metazoa; Chordata; Aves; Passeriformes; Estrildidae.